UGGUUGGACAAAAAGUAAGCUGUCUCGGUUAUAAUAAUUGAACUUAACUUUUAAGUGAAAAGGCUUAAAUGUUUCAGGGGGACGAUAAGACCCUAUAAAGCUUGACAAUAAUUUCGUUAUAUUAUAAAUUGUUAGUAUAACUUGAUUUUAACGGGAGUUUGUUUCGUUGGGGCGACGGGAAUAUAAUAAAUAACUGUUCUUUUAAAUAUAAUUACAAAAAUACUUGGUAAAUAAUUGAUCCUCUAUUAGAGAUUAAAAGAUUAAGUUACUUUAGGGAUAACAGCGUAAUCUUCUUUGAG
RNAcentral lists this ribosomal RNA (299 nucleotides) under Penaeus japonicus. RNAcentral describes it as "partial large subunit ribosomal RNA". RNAcentral also lists the same sequence under 1 other name. The record is from RNAcentral. Lineage: Eukaryota; Metazoa; Arthropoda; Malacostraca; Decapoda; Penaeidae.